Molecule: long non-coding RNA, 257 nt
Filed under: Lathyrus oleraceus (garden pea)
Lineage: Eukaryota; Viridiplantae; Streptophyta; Magnoliopsida; Fabales; Fabaceae
Description: Pisum sativum (pea) long non-coding RNA (PSAT_LNC041363)
Source: RNAcentral
AAAAUUUAGCAAAACAAGAACACUAAUAACACUAUCAAUCUUCUCAUUUCUUGAUAACAAUAUACAAAAUUUAGCAAAACAAGAACACUAAUAACACUAUGAAUCUUCUCAUUUCUUGAUAACAAUAUACCAAAUUUAGCAAAACAAGAACACUAAUAACACUAUCAAUCUUCUCCUUUCUUGAUAACAAUAUACAAAAUUUAGCAAAACAAGAACACUAAUAACGCUAUCAAUCUUCUCAUUUUUUGAUAACAAUA